RNAcentral lists this ribosomal RNA (497 nucleotides) under uncultured bacterium. Its description in RNAcentral is "partial 16S ribosomal RNA". It matches the Rfam family "Bacterial small subunit ribosomal RNA", at positions 28 to 507 of the family's 1533-position model. The record is from RNAcentral.
GAUGAACGCUGGCGGCGUGCCUAAUACAUGCAAGUCGAGCGACCGCACGAUAAUCUUUCUGCUGGCGUGUUAGCGGCGGACGGGUGAGGAAUACGAGGAUAACUUACAUAUAAGGCUAGCAUAACUUCGGGAAACCGGAUCUAACAUCUUCUAUUAUCUUGAAACGAAUGGAUCAAAAGUCAUUGACGUUCUUGAUGUCACUUUUUGAUAGUUCCUCGUUGGUUUAGCUAUUUGGUAAGGUAACGGCUUACUAAGGCAACGAUGCAUAGCGGAUCUGAGAGGGUGAUCCGCCACACUGGAACUGAGACACGGUCCAGACUCCUACGGGAGGCAGCAGUAGGGAAUCUUGCGCAAUGGGCGAAAGCCUGACGGAGCAACGCCGAGUGAGUGAUGAAGGUCUUCGGAUCGUAAAGCUCUGUUAGUGGGGAAGAACAUAUGUGUGAGUAUACGUUGAAGGCUUGACGGUACCUCAUUAGAAAGCAACGGCUAACUACGUG